CUCGAAAUCCUAGGAUUCAGUCCACCAACGAUCAACAAUGGUUUGCAUACGCAAAGCGACUAUCGACGACCUCCUUGCAAUGCAAGCUUGCAAUCUCCUCUGCCUCCCAGAGAACUACCAGAUGAAGUACUACCUCUACCACAUCCUCUCGUGGCCACAGCUCCUCUACGUCGCCGAAGAUUACAACGGCCGCAUCGUCGGCUACGUGCUCGCUAAGAUGGAGGAGGAAAGCUCCGAGUGCCACGGCCACAUCACCUCCCUUGCCGUGCUCCGGACGCACCGCAAACUCGGCUUGGCCACCAAGCUUAUGACUGCCGCGCAAAACGCCAUGGAGCAGGUGUUCGGGGCCGAGUACGUCUCGCUACAUGUGCGGAAGAGUAAUAGGGCAGCGUU
RNAcentral lists this long non-coding RNA (393 nucleotides) under Vitis vinifera (wine grape). RNAcentral describes it as "long non-coding RNA (VVIN_LNC004337)". Lineage: Eukaryota; Viridiplantae; Streptophyta; Magnoliopsida; Vitales; Vitaceae. The record is from RNAcentral.